Molecule: unclassified non-coding RNA, 559 nt
Filed under: Hevea brasiliensis (rubber tree)
Lineage: Eukaryota; Viridiplantae; Streptophyta; Magnoliopsida; Malpighiales; Euphorbiaceae
Source: RNAcentral
AUCAAUUUGGAGACAACUCCACAGGUUGGUUUUGCCUUUUUUUCCCCCCUUAUUUUCUUAAUCUGUUUUGUUUGUUUUAGCUGGAUCUUCACUUUCCUAUUUGGGUUUUUUGGGAGAUCUUCUCUUUGAGAAUUUUUAGUUUGGUUGCCCUGCAACAGGGUUAAAUAUUUGAGAAUUCCAUCAAAUCUUUUAUUUAAGUGGUGUUUAAUUUUGCGGUCAACGUCAAAUGGUGGAUUAAGUUUCAUUGUUUGCCAAAUGGAACGUAGUUGUUAGUUGACAGUUCUUCAGUUUGAAAUGGAAUUCUCUUGUGGUUUAUCUAUCUGGGUGAGCUUUUGAGCGCCAAUUUUCUUUGAUUUCAUAUCGAUUUAACUACACGAGAUGUUAGUUCUUAUAAACUCUUAUGCUUGCUUCAUGCACAACAGGUAUGAUCAAUUUUGGUUUUAUGAAUGACAUUUGCUGCUCUAAUAGUAAUAUGGAUGACAUUUGCUUCUCUAAGUGCACGGGGAAUGUUAGUAUAUGUGAAUUCCACCUGUUGUCCAUACGCACAGUUGUUUUCUUG